Molecule: long non-coding RNA, 855 nt
Organism: Fukomys damarensis (Damara mole-rat)
Lineage: Eukaryota; Metazoa; Chordata; Mammalia; Rodentia; Bathyergidae
Exons: 3
Source: RefSeq, a predicted model, not a curated record
AAAGGCUAUUCAAGCUGAGGGAGGGGCUGUGCAUGGAGGCUGCCCCGUGCAGUCAGCACCUCCAGGCCUCAGGGCCGCCAACCCCAGUCCUCCGCGAGAGGCACACAGGUUUGACAAAAACGCCAAGCCCCUGCCGUUGGGCUGCUGGCACUGACCCUGCCAUUGCAACAAAUGUCCAGCCCCUCCGCACGCUGACGAGCUCAGCGCCCGCUCCCGCGUAGCCCUCCCCUCCCUGGAAACGCAAGGAAGCCGGGAGGUGUCAAAAACCGCGUCCGGAACACGGCUCAGUCCUUCCUGGAGGUUUGAUACACCCUUUGAGCUUGGGUGAGGCUGGUUCACGAGAGAACACUAAUGAGCUGUGAAAUGACCAAGAAUCUGGCAGCAGAAGGGGAAUAAAAGUAACAGGUUUGUAUAUUACACUUUCUAGAUAAUCAGCUCUUGAAUGAGUAAGUGUGGAAGAUGUCUUAGGGGGAAAAGCAGAUUUUAAAAACUCAUUUUAUGACUGUGGAAUUGCUUUAUUGAUCAUUACCAGAUUUAUUUUGCAAUCAGUGUGUGAAUUUGUGUGUGUGUGUGUGUGUGUGUGUGUGUUAGGAAUACAACCCCGGCAUAGUAGACAAGCACUCCACCACUAAGCUGCUGUCCCUGUUUUUAGAUGUCUCUGGCCCAAAUUUAUUAAUUAUCUUAGAAAAACAAAGUUCUCAUGUUAUGCUGUGUAACCACAUGAAAUUACAUUACUGUUACUGUUGCUCAGCCUUCUCUCCAGUAUUUAUUGGACUAGUCAUGGGAAUGGUGGUCUAAAGAAACUAAGAAAUAAGACGGCCAUGGUGGUGCACACCUGUAAUCCCAGCUCUCGGG